RNAcentral lists this long non-coding RNA (761 nucleotides) under Equus caballus (horse). Its description in RNAcentral is "lncRNA (ENSECAG00000047047.1)". The record is from RNAcentral. Lineage: Eukaryota; Metazoa; Chordata; Mammalia; Perissodactyla; Equidae.
AACAGUUGUUGGGAUGGUGCUCACAGAAACAGGAAGCCCACAGGAAGCCGCCGGGGAACAAACAGGAAAGAGCGAGCCGGCUCCCUCCUCCACCGGCGGUCUCCUUCCAGCGCCCUGUCGGCAGAGCCUCCCACAGAGGCCACUGCAGAGCGGAAAUGAGCCUGCGGGAUCCCAGCUCCAGCCCCCCAGGGCCAGCGACUUCCUGACGGACCCAGGCGUCCUGCUUCAGGUGUUCUGCUUGGUGCUGUGGACUCCUGGAGGUCAGGGACAGCCCUGAUCUCUCUGUGACCUUCUCAGGGAUUGGCACCCUUCCCGGGCAGAGCAGGCCCUAAGAAGAGAUCCACAAAGAGCCCAGUGCCUCAAAGGGAGGCUAAUUGAGUCCAAGGACUGACGGCGGGCCUGGACCCAUUGGCAUCCUGCCAGCCAAGAAGCACCUGCUUCCUUCAGAAUUUAGCUUUCCUUUGUUGAAUGCAGCUCUCAGAAUUGCCUUGACUUUUCUUGGUGGGAUAUGUGAGAUGGAGCCUAGAAAUCCUGCAGCCAUUUUGCUCCCAGAGGGAAACCAGCCUUAGCCUGAAGCUGAUAUUAUGAAAGAGAGAGCAGAGAUGGGACAAUACUGGAUCCUUGAUGAUGUUGUCACUGAAUCAACCCACUCUGAUCCUGCCUCUGAAGUUUCUGUUUAUCUGAGCUAAUAAAUCGACUUUAUUGUUAACCAAUUUGAGUUGAUUUUUCAAUAAAUUUAACCAAAGUUUUCUAACUGAUAA